This 492-nucleotide ribosomal RNA is filed under the name Triticum aestivum (bread wheat). Its description in RNAcentral is "partial small subunit ribosomal RNA". Lineage: Eukaryota; Viridiplantae; Streptophyta; Magnoliopsida; Poales; Poaceae. The record is from RNAcentral.
AUGUUACCAGAGGAUGAACACAAAACAGCUUUCAAAACUCACAGUGGACAAUAUCAAUUUAGGGUGAUGCCCUUUGGUCUUACUAAUGCCCCCUCCACUUUUCAAUGCAUCAUGAAUUGGAUUUUUGCUGCUUACAACAGAAAAUUUGUUCUUGUCUUCAUGGAUGAUAUCUUAAUCUUUAGUGAGACCCUGGAAGAACAUUUGGAACAUCUCAGAAUAGUGUUUCAAACCUUAAGAGAGCAUCAAUUCUUUGCUAAGAGUACCAAAUGCACUUUUGCACAACAACAGUUGGAAUAUCUAGGACACAUCAUUUCUGACAAAGGGCUUCAGACAGAUCCUGAGAAAACUUUGGCUAUGGCCAGGUGGCCUACUCCUCAGAACAUGACUGAAUUAAGAGGGUUUUUGGGGCUCACGGGAUAUUACAGGAAGUUUGUGCAAGGAUAUGGUAUAAUUGCUAAGCCACUCACUCAACUACUGAAGAAACAAGCCUUU